CUGGGGCCUCCGUGGCCGAGUGGUUAGAGUUGUUGACUUCAAACCAUUUGCCCCUCAUCGAUGUGGGUUCGAAACCUCAUUUGAGGCGUAGAAUUCUUCACGUGAGGAAGCCAUCCAGCUGGCUUACGGAAUGUCGGUGGUUCUACCCAGGUGCCCGCUCGUGAUGAAAUUAUGCACGGAGGGGCACCUGGGGUCUUCCUCCACCAUUAAAGCUGGAAAGUCGCCAUAUGACCUAAAAUUGUGUCGGUGCGACGUUAAACCCAACAAAAUAAAAUAAAUAAAUUGACAUUGACCUAGUGACCUAGUUUCACAUUUUUGAAGGUACAGGCUUUAAAUUUGGACCACAUGCUUAGAUUUGUGUUCUGAAGUGUAAUCUGACCUUGAUUUUGGCCUAGUGACCAACUUUCGCAUUUCUCAAGCUACAGCCUUCAAAUUUGGACCACUUGCAUAGUUUUGUGUACCGAAAUAAUCUUUGACCUGAAGAUUGACCUAGCGACCUACUUUGAAAUUCAAAUUUCUCAAACUAUAAAGCCUUCAGACCUGAUGCACAUGCAUAGUUUUAUGUACAAAGAACUUAGUCCUUGAAAUUGAUCUAGUAACCUACUUUCACAUUUCUCAAGCUACAGCUUUCGAAUUUGGACCACAUGCACAGUGUUGUGUACGGAAAUAAAAUUUGACCUUGAACUAGUCAUUAAGUCUUGAAAUUUGGAACACUCAAAAAUGGCACAUUGGUGGGCGCCAAGAUCACUCUGUGAUCUCUUGUUGGUCCAGUCCUUAUGAAAAUUGGCCAGAAUAUUUGUUUCCAUGAAAUAAAUAGGACAAACAUGUUUACACUGUUAUGAAAUGUUUCUCAGGCGAGCGACCAAGGACCAUCUUGGCCCUCUUGUUAAUUUUAUAGAUAAAGCAGCUGUCAAUUUAGAUAUUAUGCAUAAUUAAAUGGUUAGAAUGGCUCCUCUUUCAAUAUUGAAAAUGCUGAAUUGUUCAGCAUCAUUACCCUUAUCAUAUGACACAAGGUGCAUAACUCUGGGACCAAUUUUUCAUGAAUUAUUUCCCCUUUUUACUUAAAAUUUUAGGUUAAAGUUUUGAUGCACUUUCACUUUGUCUCUGUUAUUACUGAAUGGAUUUGAUUCAAACUUAAAAUAGUUGUUCAGCAUCAUCACCCACACUAACACUAUAUGACACAAGCUGCAUAACUCUGGCACCAAUAUUUAAUGAAUUAUGCCCCUUUUUGCUUAGGAUAUACUUAUAUAGUGUUUUGAUACAUUUUAUCUUUUCCUCUCUUAUUACUUUAAGUUGAUAUUUUUAACAUAGACUCAGGCUAUUGUGCAAUAUCUUCAUCCACGACUGGAGUCAUUAAACACUCCAGUGACAGCUCUAGUUUCCUCAGAUGUGCCCGUUUCACUAUCCAGCAUCGAAAUAGUCGAGCGCGUUGUCUCCUGUGACAGCUCUUGUUUGUUUGGUCAGUAGGUUAAAGAUGCGGGUCAUGGUGGCCGGAACCGGCUACCUAGUCACUGCCUCUUGAUAAUUUGUUAAAUAUUGUAUUCCAUAUAGUGACCUAAAUGUUUUGUACAUGUAUGCACGAUGUCUGUAUUAUAUUGUUUUAUCUGUUCAGGGAUUUAAAGGACAUUAAAAUAACAAACGCCGAUUUAAAUUAUUUCUUAAAUGACAAAAAAUUCAAGCAUUUUAGAAAUUUACUAAAUAAAUUUUCAUUAAAGGUAAAACGCUACCUUAAUGAUUGACUUGUCCUGCACAUUUAGCAGAGUCUUAGCUUAAAUUUAAGGUCAUACAUGUACUUGCAGGUCAAAGGUUUAUAUUAUCUGUUUUGUAUCUGCUUUCUUCUCUUCCUGUGACGUUGUACUAUAUAUAAUAUUUCAGCAGAUUUACUUCCCUUUGAAAAGACUGGACUUACUAAAAAAGAUGUUUGGUCGUAUUAUAAAUAUUAAAACACGAGUUUUUUUUAAUUUUUGGUUUUGUAGUUGUUAUUGUUCUUAUUUCUCUACUAUUUUAAA
Mercenaria mercenaria is the source of this 2009-nucleotide long non-coding RNA. RefSeq lists it as uncharacterized. The transcript has 2 exons. The record is from RefSeq and is a predicted model, not a curated record. NCBI's taxonomy places the organism in Eukaryota, Metazoa, Mollusca, Bivalvia, Venerida, Veneridae.